Dendronephthya gigantea is the source of this 676-nucleotide long non-coding RNA. RefSeq lists it as uncharacterized. The transcript has 4 exons. The record is from RefSeq and is a predicted model, not a curated record. NCBI's taxonomy places the organism in Eukaryota, Metazoa, Cnidaria, Anthozoa, Malacalcyonacea, Nephtheidae.
GUCGAUGUUCGGCGAUGCAUCAACCGUGAGGGUUUCAAUCGUGAAUAUAAUAGGGUUAUCAAUUUGAGGUAGUCAAGGUUUUUAAGAUAGUUGUGUCAAGGAAGUUGACAGAUUUCUCAGAGAAGGAAAAGUCAAAUUUGAUGGUAUAAGAUUUUCAGGAGCUUGUUGGAGGAGCUCCUGUUCAAGUGCUGCCAUGAAUAUGUUUGCAUAGGGGUAAUUGUGUUGAUUUCUUUCAACAUGUCUAUACAGGCUUGGAUGCCUUGAUCAUUAGGUAUGUUGGUAUAGAGACUUCUUACGUCAAUAGUAAUAAGUAUGAACUUGUCUGGUAGUGUGUUAUUCUGAGCAAAUAUCCGGCAUAGAAAGUCUGCAGUGUCCUGGACAUAUGAUGGUAUGUGUUGUAGGAGUGGUUUGAGUAGAUGGUCAGCAUAUUGAGAAAGCUUGACUGUUGGUCCACCACAACCGGAGAUAAUAGGUCGACCUGGAAUGUUAGUUUUGUGUAUUUUGGGUAAAAGGUAUAGUUGUGGUGUCCUGGCUUGAUUGUCAAUUGUGAGAUAUUUAAAUGUUGUGUUGUCAAUGGCCUUAGAUUUGUGGAGUUUGUGUGCUAGGGUUUUGGUUUCAGUUAGAAUUUCAGGGGUCGGGUCAUGUGUUAGUUUCUGGUAGUGUUUCUCAUUAUAAA